This 463-nucleotide long non-coding RNA is filed under the name Androctonus crassicauda. Lineage: Eukaryota; Metazoa; Arthropoda; Arachnida; Scorpiones; Buthidae. The record is from RNAcentral.
UGUAUGCCAGUUUCGACAUAAUUGGAUAGAACAGUGAAGAACAAACAACUUUUGUUUUGAAAGUUUUUUAAUAUCACUUAUGGAUUGUGAGAUAUCCCAAAACAAAGAUGCUGCUACAUGUACUGCCGAUUGGGCUAUUCAAACAAUAAGAAGAAGAAUCUGACAGAUGGCUUCUGUGUACAUCAUGGUGCUCAUAAAGGGCUGAAACAAAUCCUUGUUCUUGAGUAUGGCUUCAUGCCAAAUUGCGAUGGUGAAAGAUUUGUUGCAUCUACAGUUUGUGUACUACCACUGAGUACCCAAAUCGGCCUUAAAUCUGCAUAAUAAUGUUCUUUUUUUACUUCAACAGUGUUUUCUAGUGUACAUAGUUGUCCUCUGUGGAUUAUUAUUCUUAUUGAUUGAAUAGCCCAAUCAAUGAUACAUGUGGCAGCAUCUUUUUUUGUGUAAUAUAUCACAAUCUGUAGAU